RNAcentral lists this ribosomal RNA (480 nucleotides) under uncultured Treponema sp. RNAcentral's name for it is "bacterial SSU rRNA". It matches the Rfam family "Bacterial small subunit ribosomal RNA", at positions 25 to 496 of the family's 1533-position model. The record is from RNAcentral. Lineage: Bacteria; Pseudomonadati; Spirochaetota; Spirochaetia; Treponematales; Treponemataceae.
CAGAACGAACGCUGGCGGCGCGUCUUAAGCAUGCAAGUCGGGCGGCAAGGGGCAGCAAUGCCCCCUAGAGCGGCGGACUGGUGAGUAACGCGUGGGUAACCUGCCCCCAGGACGGGGAUAGCCGCUAGAAAUAGCGGGUAAUACCGGAUACGGUUGCGGGACAAGUGUUCCGUAAAGAAAGGAGCGCACGCUCCGCCUGGGGAUGGGCCCGCGUCCCAUUAGCUAGUUGGCAGGGUAAAGGCCUACCAAGGCAGUGAUGGGUAGCCGGCCUGAGAGGGCGAACGGCCACAUUGGGACUGAGAUACGGCCCAAACUCCUACGGGAGGCAGCAGCUAAGAAUAUUCCGCAAUGGGCGAAAGCCUGACGGAGCGACGCCGCGUGGAUGAAGAAGGCCGGAAGGUUGUAAAAUCCUUUUGCUACUGAAGAAUAAUCCGGCAGGAAAUGGCCGAGAGAUGACGUUCAGUAGCGAAUAAGCCCCGG